CAAUAAUGGAGACUCAAAAAAGUGAUCUGCCUGAUGUGCCAUCCAUCAUGACCUUUAAAGGAUCAUCUGAAAAAUUGUCAAGUGAUGAACACAAGACACAGCUAGUGGGAUCAAGUGAAACUAUAACAGAGAUUCAAAAAAGUGACAUGCCUGAUGUGCCAUCCACUAUGAGCCUUGAAGGAACAUCUGAAGAACUGUCAAGUGAUGAAUACAAGGCUCAGCUAGUGAGACCAAGU
Long non-coding RNA from Anneissia japonica, 236 nucleotides. RefSeq lists it as uncharacterized. The record is from RefSeq and is a predicted model, not a curated record. Lineage: Eukaryota; Metazoa; Echinodermata; Crinoidea; Comatulida; Comatulidae. The transcript has 2 exons.